UACGGAGGAUCCGAGCGUUAUCCGGAUUUAUUGGGUUUAAAGGGUGCGCAGGCGGGAGAUUAAGUAGGCGGUGAAAUUUUGCAGCUCAACUGUAAAAGUGCCUUCGAAACUGGUUUCCUUGAGUGUAGAUGAAGUAGGCGGAAUUUGUGGUGUAGCGGUGAAAUGCUUAGAUAUCACGAGGAACUCCGAUUGCGCAGGCAGCUUACUAAACCACUACUGACGCUCAGGCACGAAGGCGUGGGGAUCAAACAGGAUUAGAUACCCUGGUAGU
RNAcentral lists this ribosomal RNA (271 nucleotides) under uncultured prokaryote. RNAcentral describes it as "partial 16S ribosomal RNA". It matches the Rfam family "Bacterial small subunit ribosomal RNA", at positions 524 to 794 of the family's 1533-position model. The record is from RNAcentral.